ACAGUAUUUCAUAGUAUUAAGCGUACAAAAUGGCGUACCCGGCCGGAGGAACAGACAACAUUCUGCUUAUCACCGACUCAUACAAGGUGACACAUCAUUACCAGUACCCUCCCAACACAACAGUCGUCUGCUCCUACUUCGAGAGUCGUGGGGGUAAAUUUCCAAGCACAGUUUUCUUCGGUCUGCAGUACAUCAUAAAGCGCUUCCUAGAAGGUCCAGUGGUCACAAAAGAGAAGAUAGAGGAGGCCCGUGAUCUGUACAACGCUCAUUUUGGUCAUGAAUACUUCAAUGAGGAAGGAUGGAAUUAUAUCUUGGAGAACCACGAUGGCAAAUUACCCAUGAGGAUAAAAGCUGUCCCUGAGGGAUCAGUGGUCCCAUACAAAAAUGUUCUCUUCACGGUGGAAAACACAGACCCAAAGUGUUUCUGGCUCACUAACUACUUUGAGACCCUGCUAGUUCAGACCUGGUACCCCAUGACAGUGGCCACAAACUCCCGCUCCCAGAAGGAAGUUAUUGCCAAGUACCUGGAUGAGACUGCCGAUAGUAUGGAUGGUCUGGGUUUCAAACUCCAUGAUUUUGGUUUUCGUGGAUCUACAUCUGUUGAGUCUGCUGGGAUAGGUGGAACUGCACACUUGGUGAACUUCUGUGGUUCAGAUACAAUUACUGCGAUCACCACAGCCAAAAGGUUUUACGGCUGUGAUAUGGCAGGCUUCUCCAUACCUGCAGCAGAGCACAGUACAAUAACAACAUGGGGACGGGAUGGCGAGAAGGAGGCAUUCAUUAACAUGCUCACUCAGUUCCCAAAUGGGCCAAUGGCCUGUGUCAGCGACAGCUAUGAUAUUUGGAAUGCAUGUGAAAAUGUGUGGGGAAAGGAGCUCAAAGACAUGAUAAUUACAAGAGGACAGAAUGGUGGGGUACUUGUGGUGCGACCAGACUCGGGGGAUCCAGCAGAGGUUGUCAUUAAGGUGCUGAACAUCCUUGGAAAUGCAUUUAAGACGACAGAGAACAGCAAGGGUUAUAAAAUGUUACCACCUUACCUGAGAGUUAUACAAGGGGAUGGCAUCAGCUAUGAAAGUCUGGGUGAAAUCCUGGAAGCCAUGAAGUCUAAUGGAUGGAGUGCAGACAACAUUGUAUUUGGGAGUGGAGGAGCUCUGUUACAAAGAAUGGACCGAGAUACACAGAAAUGUGCCUACAAAUGUAGCUACGCUGUUAUAGGCGGCAAGGAGGUUAAUGUGUAUAAGAACCCUAUCACAGACGUGGGAAAGAAGAGUAAGAAGGGACGAUUGACAUUAGAGUACGAAAAUGGAAAAUAUACGACUGUGGAGGAAGGAAAAGGCAACCCAACUCUGGAUGCAUUGGUUACUGUGUUUGAAAAUGGCAAGUUACUAAAAGAUUAUACGUUUGCUGAGGUGAGAGAAAAUGCAGAGCUGGAACUUGUAAGACAAAGGAGGGGCCAGAGCAGCUGUAAGGUUUAGGCCCUGUCCAGGUUUAAAACUCGCCGAACGGGGACCAUAGUGCGGUGUUUAAAGUCAGAAGCAUUGUAGCAGAGAUUUCCAUCGCCUAUAACAUCACAAAUAACAUAUACAAAUAUGAUAUCAUUUUAAAGUUCUCACUGGCUGUAGAAUCUACUAGAUGGAUGUUGAAAUAGAAUUCUGAUACACAAUCUUAAACAGACUGCUGUGUAGAAAAGACAGAAAGGUGUUCUUUGUAUUAUUUCAAUUUUUAGAAACAAUAAGGUUGUUGGUACAGGAACAAUAUAGAUCAUGACUAGUAUAUUAUGAUGAUAUUUUCCAGAGUUACACUUUACACUUUCGCGGUGUGAUUGUUAAGAAUCAUUAUACGUUAGAGUCCACUGUUAUGGUUCAGUUCAUGUCAUCCUUUCCGAAGUCUUGGUUUUCCUCUUUUUAAAUAUAUAAUCACGCUUUAUUGUCAGUAUCUCAACCUUUAAAGUUAGAACUUAUAUGUGCUGGCAUAUAACAGAGCAAAAGAGUGAACAGGUUUUCCCUAAAAUGACCCGAAGGUUAGUUUUUACACCUGUGUUUGGUAUCAAACAUGACACCAAAUCAUGAAAUGGCUUAAUUAUGAGAAUGUUUACCCUGAUGAUCUUUUCUGUGUUAUGACAGUGAAUAUUUAUAGGUAAUACAGUAUAUAAAAUCUGAUUCCAUUUUUAUUUUUUUAUGUACUUGUGAUGUUGGUUCAAUUUCACAGGAAUUAUUGUUCUGUUGAUAUCACAUUUUACUUAUCUACUCAUUCACCCCUGACAUUUCAUAAUGAACUAUUCCU
RNAcentral lists this unclassified non-coding RNA (2283 nucleotides) under Mizuhopecten yessoensis (Yesso scallop). RNAcentral's name for it is "nicotinamide phosphoribosyltransferase-like, transcript variant X1". Lineage: Eukaryota; Metazoa; Mollusca; Bivalvia; Pectinida; Pectinidae. The record is from RNAcentral.